Molecule: ribosomal RNA, 253 nt
Filed under: uncultured bacterium
Lineage: Bacteria
Description: partial 16S ribosomal RNA
Rfam family: Bacterial small subunit ribosomal RNA
Source: RNAcentral
UACGUAGGAUGCAAGCGUUGUCCGGAAUUAUUGGGCGUAAAGAGCGAGCAGGCGGUUCGACAAGUCAGAUGUAAAAUAUCCCGGCUUAACCGGGAGGGGCCAUUUGAAACUGUCGGACUAGAGUGGAGCAGAGGAUAGUGGAAUUCCCGGUGUAGUGGUGAAAUGCGUAGAUAUCGGGAGGAACACCUGUGGCGAAGGCGGCCCCCUGGUUGGAUACUGACGCUGAGACGCGAAAGCGUGGGGAGCAAACAGG